Molecule: long non-coding RNA, 248 nt
Filed under: Serinus canaria (Common canary)
Lineage: Eukaryota; Metazoa; Chordata; Aves; Passeriformes; Fringillidae
Description: lncRNA (ENSSCAG00000012428.1)
Source: RNAcentral
GAAAGGGCUUACACAACAGCCUAAGAACUAUGAAAUCCAGACUGGACCUUAAAACCACUGGUCGAUCUUGCCAGACUUCCACAGAGGUGAGAUGGAGAGAAGAAAGGAAGAGGAGGAAGAAGAGGAGGCAUAACAAAAAACCAAAGGGUUUUGAACUCGAACAUACAGUCUCGAAGUCUUGGCCUGAAAAUUUUUAAGUGCAGAAGGGUUUUUACUGCCUAACACAUGUUUUAUGAAGUAAGUAUAGU